RNAcentral lists this ribosomal RNA (502 nucleotides) under uncultured archaeon. Its description in RNAcentral is "bacterial SSU rRNA". It matches the Rfam family "Archaeal small subunit ribosomal RNA", at positions 367 to 867 of the family's 1478-position model. The record is from RNAcentral.
GCGAUAAGGGGACUCCGAGUGCGAGGGCAUACAGUCCUCGCUUUUCUGCACCGUAAGGUGGUGCAGGAAUAAGUGCUGGGCAAGACCGGUGCCAGCCGCCGCGGUAAUACCGGCAGCACGAGUGAUGACCGCUAUUAUUGGGCCUAAAGCGUCCGUAGCCGGCCAGGCAAGUCCGUCGGGAAAUCCGCACGCCUAACGUGUGGGCGUCCGGUGGAAACUGUUUGGCUUGGGACCGGAAGAACCUGAGGGGUACGUCUGGGGUAGGAGUGAAAUCCCGUAAUCCUGGACGGACCACCGGUGGCGAAAGCGCCUCAGGAAGACGGAUCCGACGGUGAGGGACGAAAGCUUGGGUCACGAACCGGAUUAGAUACCCGGGUAGUCCAAGCUGUAAACGAUGUCUGCUAGGUGUGGCGCUGGCUACGAGCCAGCGCUGUGCCGUAGGGAAGCCGAGAAGCAGACCGCCUGGGAAGUACGUCUGCAAGGAUGAAACUUAAAGGAAUUG